GGCGGACGGGUGAGUAACGCGUGAGGAUCUGCCUACAGGUGGGGGACAACAGUUGGAAACGGCUGCUAAUACCCCAUGUGCCGGAAGGUGAAAGGUUUACUGCCUGUAGAUGAACUCGCGUCUGAUUAGCUAGUUGGUGGGGUAAUGGCCUACCAAGGCGACGAUCAGUAGCUGGUCUGAGAGGAUGAUCAGCCACACUGGGACUGAGACACGGCCCAGACUCCUACGGGAGGCAGCAGUGGGGAAUUUUCCGCAAUGGGCGAAAGCCUGACGGAGCAACGCCGCGUGCGGGAGGAAGGCCUUAGGGUUGUAAACCGCUUUUAUCAGGGAAGAACGCAAUGACGGUACCUGAUGAAUAAGCCUCGGCUAAUUCCGUGCCAGCAGCCGCGGUAAUACGGGAGAGGCGAGCGUUAUCCGGAAUUAUUGGGCGUAAAGCGUCCGCAGGUGGCCGAUUAUGUCUGUCGUCAAAUCGUGGAGCUCAACUCCAUACACGCGAUGGAAACUGGUUGGCUAGAGUACGGUAGGGGUAGCGGGAAUUCCAGGUGUAGCGGUGAAAUGCGUAGAUAUCUGGAAGAACACCAGCGACGAAAGUGCGCUACUGGGCCUGUACUGACACUCAUGGA
This 623-nucleotide ribosomal RNA is filed under the name uncultured cyanobacterium. RNAcentral's name for it is "bacterial SSU rRNA". It matches the Rfam family "Bacterial small subunit ribosomal RNA", at positions 97 to 753 of the family's 1533-position model. Lineage: Bacteria; Bacillati; Cyanobacteriota. The record is from RNAcentral.